Gasterosteus aculeatus aculeatus (three-spined stickleback) is the source of this 8170-nucleotide long non-coding RNA. The record is from Ensembl. Lineage: Eukaryota; Metazoa; Chordata; Actinopteri; Perciformes; Gasterosteidae.
CAGAAAGCGCGUGCGGCCGCCUCCUCCUCGCACACGUAUUCUGACCAGACCACAGUCAGACCGGCUAUUCAUUCCUCCAGCACUUGCUGAAGCCCCGGCAUUUCUCCCCCCGACCCUCCACCGCAGCACGGACAGCAGCGAUGUUUUCCUGCAGAGCGGCCUGGCUAAAGUGUGGCCCUUUGGCACGGAAAGCAGCCUACCGGCUGCCCCGGGACGUUGUACAGCGGCGACCGAUGUCAUCAAUUCCUGGUGGUUCUGGGGAGAAUAUCGUCUACGCUCUAAUGUGUGGAGGAGUCUUUGUUGGCUCGGUGGCAUACGCAUACAACACCCUGAGCACAGACGGAGCCAGGUUCAACGACCGCAUCUCUGAAAUCAAUGCCAGACCCAAGACAGAGUGGGUGCCUAAACCAUGGCCCCCCAAGAGUAAGUCCUCCUCACUUGACUAAACAACACCACUACCCCAUUAAAAACUGACCAAGGACAUUUUGGUCCUCCUUGUAAAGUCCCAGAAUGGACAUUAAUGUACAUAACGGGGGCGGAACCUAUGCACACAAUUGCACUUUUAACAGUGAUGAGAAUAAUUCAUGCAAUUGCAGCUCGUGCAAAUGAACAAAAUAAUCAGAAUUGUGUUCAGUGCAACACUGCUGGACAUUCACUCACGUAACGUACCCCCACGGCCUCAAGCCUUUUCUUUAAGCUCUGCCAUUGUCCAAACUUUCUCUUUUCACGCUAUAAUUCAAGAUUAUAACAAGUAUAUAAGGGAAUGUAUUUGCUGCUCCAUUAAGGACAAAACUGGUAACCAAUUAUACAAAUGUUGGAUUUUCAAAUGAAAUCUCCACUCCACAAUUAAUAUCAUUUUUGAAAAAGCAAAGCUAAGAAGUGAGCUGCUGAUGGAACCGUAGCUGCGGUCUACGACGUGGAUCUGAAGUGAUGUCUGUGUUUGCUUGCAGGCAGGGACGAGGAAGAGGGUAAGUGGUCUCACUCCGUUGGACUUCCUGUCAGUAACACUGAACACUUGCUGAAUGCUCACUCACACGCUGUCUGGGGCUCAAGGGGACUCGGUGAUGGGCGUCUCUUCUCAGGCCUCCUGUCACUAACCUAACUCUGUGAUGGCACUAAUCACUGUGCAUGUUAACUCUUAUGGUUCCACGGUUAGCCCGUCGACAGCCGGGAGGUAGUUAGGCAAUGAGCCAAUGAUUGUGAGGGCCAUUUGCGAGCUGCAGACUAAAGAGCUAACGUUGAUAUUCAUGGUUGACUUAUUUGUCUUCCAUUGGUGAAAAGGGUCACAUUUGACUCCCACUGAAUGGCUAAUAUUCGCCUCCGGUCGAUCACACACAAAAGUGCUGUUGGGUGACCGGGGCAAAUGGACAUUAAGGUGCACUCUUGGUUUUAGCACCCUUUCUGCAAGGACAUGAAGGAUGUACCGUUUGUAAAAUGACUGCCUGACAACCAUGAAGUUUUGCUUCAUUGAAGUAAUGUUGCAGCAGAUUUGAUUUACCAGGCCUGGGAGUGAAGGCACAGUACUUUGUUUGAGACUGACUGGUAAAGUUACUUGUUACAUAGUAUUAGAAUUGAAACCGUGUCAUAGGUUUCCACUGCGGCCGUCAGUUUGGUGAUUUAUGAACCAACGAGAGGGAGGCAGGUUAUGAGCACGACUCAGAAAUAAGGAUAUCAGUCAGUCCCGACUGACCCGAAGUGAAGUAAUGGAUUCUGCUGGUGAGUUCAGUCUGUAUGAUAUAAGAAGAGGAUAAAGGAGAGAAAGGUUCUCAGGAAAUAGAAACAUCAACUGAGCUUCUAUGAUUUGUUAAAGGAACAUAAAUCCAUGUACAUCAUUCACGUAGAGCAUCCUGAGCUUUGGCGCCUCCCAUAUUCAUCCAUAACAUCUUUAUAGAGCAUGGUUGUACUCUGGCCGGUCCCAGUUGGACCGUUCUGUCCUCCCAGGUGACCCAACUCCUGAAUUUCCCCCCACUGGCCUGAAGGCUCAGCCCCAAUCCCAAUCUCCACGACCAUGUUUAGUUCAGUCCCAAUGUCGACUCAUCCAGUGGUUCAGGGCUCUCUGCUAAAAACAUUUCGGGCCCUUAAUGAACACAUUUUCUAUGGAAAUUUCCCAUCAUUCACAGCCAUGUGAUGUUGAAAGUGAAGCUGGCAACUUCCGGCUGAUCAUUUACACAGAAAAAUGAACCAUGAAACACAUAUUAUAUUUCAUAUUUAUUGAUUUUGAUUGAUUUAUUUAGUGACAUCACUGAUAGUCUGAGGAAUAACUUUCGUCUUUUGAGGAGAGAGCCUGGAGGGCGUUCAAAUCGGUUAUAGAUAGUACAUAACGUAUUAGAUAGAUAGAUCAUUUUGUUAUCGCAGCAGCAUGUACAGGGAAGAAUAGAAUAAAAAGAUACACAUUAUAUAUAAUAUAAUAAGAUAAAAAUAUUAAAUUACAUAAACUAAACUGAAUCAAAAUAAUUACCUUCAAAAAGAGACAAUAAUAAUUAUUUUUAAAAGGACGUAUUAAACGUAUUAUGACAUCGUCAUGGUAACACCAUAUGUCGCAGCUAGACGCUGUCCCAUUUGUAUCUCUGCUCUAAGAGCCUCUCCCUCUCAACCAUCUAGCGGGGGGCUGAGUAAGUCCUGGAGGCCUUAAGGUGACAUUGGGAUCGGGCUGGAGUCUCUAUCAGUCCCUUCCUUUGAUAGCACUCAAUCCCCGGUUGCUCCUUCAUCGUCUCCCAUUUACCUCUCUGUGUUAAUAAGAGGUUCAGAAGAAAGGAAAACAAUCCCAUUGUCCCUGAACAUCUGGUCCAAGUGAGACCACCUGGUGACUGUCACAGAACUGCCUGCGACUAAAGCUUCUUCUCAUCUAGCUCACCAGAGCAUAGCAGCCUAGCAGCUCAUCCUUUGUGAUUUUUGCUAAUUCCCACCCGCACAGCUUCUGUGGUUGACUAUCAGUUUAACAAUGACCUUGUGUAAAGUGAACAGGGGUUUUCUUCUCUCUAAUUCUCUGUGUCUUUGCUCUUUUCAGUGUAAAGGUAGAGCUAAGGUCCUCUGUGGCCGCAUGGAUAUCCCCCCUAGAACUGGAUUCUGAAAAGGGACCCCCUCCCCCCACAUCCUCUCCUUCCUCCCCCAAUAAGAAAGAACGAGUGCUUCACUCAACCUUAAACCGUGGGACAAGUCUGGGAAGGAUGUUGAUUCCCUUCAACUUUCUUCAUUUCCCCCCCGACCCCCCUCUGGCUGCUAAAUGUAAAGUGUAACCCCUUGAAGAGAAUAAAUGGACCUCACAGACGUGUCUGGAUUUUCAGUGGUUCAAUGGACUUCAUCGCUGUUCAACACCGGUCUGGUUUGAAGAACAAAAAAAGGAUUUCUUUUAAAUGGACAUUAACCGUUUUGAGUAAAGCUUUGCAUUAAUAUCCAACACGUUAGCAUGCGCUGUUGCGAGCAUUGGCCACCUUUUGGUGUGAACGUGUGCUGUAGGUGUAUCUGGUGAGGAGUUUAAUAGCAACUGUAUUUGAAGCCUCAAAGCGCCACUUCAAAAAUAAUUCAAAUAAAUGGCUAUUUAUUGAGUUGGUUAACCUGUUUGUCAGUAAGUAGUAAGUCUUGUUUGCCAGUCUGAAAAUAGCGUCACAUGAAGAAUAAAAUCAUUUAUAGCAGAUAGAAUCUCUUCCUUGGAUAUGGAUCCCAGACAUCGUUUUUUCCACAAGGAGGUAAACUCUUUAUAGAGAAGGUCAGGGUGUCCACUGCUGGAAAGUCCCAGGUGAAUGAAUACAAGCCACCGUUGUAUUACCUGGUGAUGAAACUCUAGACGGGAACCGUUUCAUUCGUAGCGGAAACCGGAUCCCAAACUGAAGCAGUUGUCUGUCAGCGCUAGUGAUGAAUCGGCACUGUUCCUAUGAACAAAAUAAAUAAUAUGUAUUAUUUAAAAAAAAUACAGAUUAUACAUAUUAUAACUCCCUCCCAGCUUCCACCAUGUAGCAAUAAGCAUGCUAUUGUAAUAUUCUAACAUUGAAGUGAUUCCCACUGAUGGCCACAGCAUCGACCCAGUUGGUAUGGUUCCUUUCCAUGUCGCACCUCGGCAGAGUGCACUCGGGUCUCGAUGAUUUUACCUGUGUGCUGAAACUGUCGUUGCUCGGGACUCCCACGGCUCGGGGGGGUUGGCUGAUGGUCAAUGUGGAUGACCUGCUGUCGGAGCUCCAGGUAGCACGUAGUUUGUUAAUCGGAUGGUAAGAACCAAGAUUCAACUUCCCCCCUUCUACCCUGCACCUUGACCCGCAACCCUCCCCUCCGUCCCCCCGUCAUGUUCCUCCCUGUCCUUGGUUUGCAUGUAGUUUAGUGUUGUGAAUCAGAUGUUUGUUUUUUCUUAAUAAUGAUUGACUGUUGGGGGGGCGGAGGGGGUUAAAGUGGCUUUUCUAGAAGAAGCACUUCUGGCUCAGCCUAUUACUAGUAGCUAUGUUUCCAUCCAACUGCCCAUGCGUGUCAUUUUACCUAGUCUGACGUGUUACACUUAAUAAAAGCGUCAGCUAAAUGACCUGUAAUGUAAUUUCAUUUACUUUCAAGACUUCACAAUAAAAGUCCCCUGUUAGUUACUACGGCUCAGAGUAGUUUAAAAUAUGGCUGCUUACAAAGCUUGUCUUAUUCUUCUUUCCCCCCCCCACACAGUAGUCUGCCUUUAUUUUAAGUGGAAAUAUCUUGAUUGUUGGACUCCGACUGUGGGCUGGUGGUCCUCCUCUCUCCUCUCGGGGGACGAUGAUUUCAUGACCAGUGUGGAUCGUUUUCACACCUCAGUGCGAUCUGCAGAUGAGAGCUCAGGCGCGUGUAACCCCCCCCUCCCUUAGUUAGGGAGAGUUGCACAUCUGUAUUUUAACCCAUCUGGCAGCACCUGACAUCCAACCACCCUUUAUCUUUGACAAAGAUAUUCAGCACACAUCUUUUUUUCAUCCACAUUGUAGAGCUGUCGCCCAGAAAAAGAUAAACGUUGGAAUAAAUGAGACGCUGAGGCCACGGAACUGUACAAACUAUCCCGAUGGAGCCCACAGAGCGUUCAUCAACCCGAUACUUAAACACCUAGUAGACCAUUCUUUCCCAUUUGGCACUCACAAGGUUCACCUUGACGCAAAUCUGUCACGUGACAUCACAAAUCGUAUGCCGGCUAUGCUGAUAAUGACGUAUUUAUAAGAGAUGAUAUUUUGGACAGACAUGAUAAACUAAAUUCCUCCUAUAGUGACAGCCCUACCACAUAUGAUUGUUCAUAAAACACCGGAUGGAAACCUAGCUACCGCGAACACAAUAAUAUCCCAGAAUUAUGUCGCUUUUUAAACUGUUCAUCAAAAUAUUUCAUAUUUGAAAAGAGGGAUGUUUUUUUUGGGCUGAUAUUAUUUUAUUUUUUAACAUGCCGCGUUUGUGGAACACACUGAUUAGCACCGCUGAGGGAGGCGGGCUGCUCCCUGCAGGAGAACGUGAUGGUGUCUCUGGCCAACGCGCGCCUUCUGCUUCCUGUGUUCCAGCUGGAGAGGAGGAAGUGGCAGCUGGAGAGGAGGAAGUGGCAGCUGAGGAGGCCGGCGAAGAGGAGGCUGCCGCUGAUGGCGAAGGAGAGAUCGUGGCCGAGGUUGCAGAGGUCGUUGCUGAGGCGGCGGAGGAGGUCGCCGAGGCGGCAGAGGAAGUUACAGAGGUCGCUCGUGAAGUGGAGGCGGUCGCGGAAGAGGUGGCUAAGGCGGCCGAAGCCGCCCCCCAAGCCGCCGCAGAACUAGCCGCCGAGGAGCCCGACAGCAACGUGCCGCUGGCUGCUGCUUCUGCUCUAGAAGUACCAAAGAUCGUUGAAGUGACGGAAGAGUUAGCCGCAGCCAUUCAGGACAUCGAUAAGUCCCUUGCACCAGUUGAGGAGGCUACCAAGCCAGCAGAAGAGUCCCCAGCACCAGUAGAGCCUGCACCAGUUGUCGAAGAGGCCACUUUAGAGCCUGCACCAGUUGAAGACGCCCCAGCACCAGUAGAGGUUGCACCAGUUGAAGAGGCCCCAGCACCAGUGGAGGUUGUUGAUGAGUCCCCAGUAGAGGCUGCACCAGUUGAAGAGGCCCCAGCACCAGUAGAGGUUGUUGAAGAGGCCCCAGUAGAGGCUGCACCAGUUGAAGAGGCCCCAGCACCAGUAGAGGUUGUUGAAGAGGCCCCAGUAGAGGCUGCACCAUUUGAAGAGGCCCCAGCACCAGUAGAGGUUGUUGAAGAGGCCCCAGUAGAGCAGCUUGCACCAGUUGUUGAAGAGGCCCCAGCACCAGUAGAGGCUGCACCAGUUGUUGAGGAAGUCUUGGUACCAUCUGAACCUGAAGUUACCACAGCACUUGCUGAAGAACCAGUCACCACCGCAGUUGAUGAAGAGGCUCUGGCAACCAUCGCUGCAGAAGUAGCGACCCCUCUGGUGGUUGAAGAAGCGGCUACUGAAACCCUUGCCGAAGCUCCGAAGAGAGAGUACAUUGUUGUGGUCCUGGAAGGAACACCUAAAGCUGAUAAGUCACCCAAGGUGCUUGGAGUGGAGUCCAUGACUGGUAGAAUCAUCCCAACUCCAGACGACGACGUCUCUGCUUCUGAGGGUAGGCGACGCCUUCUUAGGAUGCAAAUGCAGUAGUUCCAAAUGAGUAAGCAGCUUCCUGGAUGAUGACUUUCUUUCCUGCAGAAGAGGAUGGACGUGCCUUUUUUCCAACUCUUUCCCUUCCUUUUUAACCAAAAGAAACCCAAACUGACUAACACAUAGUUCCUGUGUAAAUACGCACAUACUGCACAGUGUUCAAUGCCCACUUUGUUGAGCCAUUAAACCGGCAUGUGAGCCCAUUACUGUGCCCCGCCACACCAACCUGCAUAUCUUGAAUCUGUAGUAGAUGACCCCAGUCAGUAGGUGAACACAUCUCUGGUACAGUAUAUCUCUUAGUAGCCUAAAUAGCAGUUUGUGUCACUUCAAUUGAGCCAUUCAGUCACCGUCAGUGUUUACUCUCUCAAAACAAACUUGUAGUUUUAGACGUAUUAGGGUUGAAGGGGUGUUUACUUCAUCAGCAUUCUUUACAAUACCAGCGCUCAGGAUUUUUCUUCUGCUUCUUGGUUUGAACAGCUGGAAAACACCUGCUGCACUGUUGUUAUGAAGAAACACCUGGAGCACAGCAGCCCCUUUGUACAGAAUCUACCUCACCGAUCCUUGUGUUUUCACUCCUUAAUAAUGAAACUACCGACCUCUUCUCAUGCAGUCACACAAAGGUUACACUUCCCAAGCCAACAACACCAUUGCUAAGCCUCCGACUUCGAUAAGCACAUCAUUUCUUUAUUUCAAAAGCUGUCAUUGGAUAAUCCAAACUCCUCUUGUAAAGCUCAAUGCUACAGGCGUCUGUAGGAUGAGCACACCAAGCUUUUCUCUCCAGCGGGCCCUGAAACAUGGAGGGGAAACUGCUGCUGCUCUCAAAAUUGGUUACGUCACAUUUUGUGUUCUUCCCCUUGAUGGCUGCUUGAAGACACCAGUUGUGACCUCCGGGAUUUUGGGGAAUGUGGCCAUGAAACAAACCUACAAGUUUGAAAGCAGCAGAUAUUGAGUUUCCUUUAGCGGACGUUGUUACUCAAUUUUGUAGAUUGUACAUGAUUAUACAAUGAAUGUAUGAAAUAUAUUGGACAUUUUCCUGAUAUUACAUUGCAAUGACUUUACACUUAGCCUAAACCCUGUUUCUCCUUGUCAGUCAUUCAUCUCUACUCACUGAGUAGCCCUGUUAAUCUAGCUCGUGGGUUAGGGAAGACGAUGAGCAGAAUCAUGUUCUUCCACCCGUGGCUAUUAUUGUUCUAGCAGUCAGAACUGUGUUGUGUGGUCUAAAGUUUUCACAGCAGAUAUGAACCGUAAUGUUUUCAGAUAUGCGACAUCAAAUGCACGUGUAUGUGUCCGAGGUCAAGGGUCCCGUGUGAAAUGCUUUGACGGCUCCUGUUGCCGUCUUUUCUCUUGUGUCAGCAGUAUUUGAAAUGAAGUUACUGAGGGAAGAUUUGAAACUCGUGUGCAUUUCUGUAAUGCAAAUGGGAUCAGAAAAUGACACUUGUCAGUCUUUGUUGCUCGCAGGCAGGUUUUUGUAGUAGGACGAUGCCUUUGACUUAGCAAAGGAACUGAACUGAAACUGUGAAUCUUUCCCAUAAUACAGUUUUUCUUGUUUUUUGCUAAAUAAAGUGGGACUAAACAUGA